GGUGAACGCUGGCGGUAGGCCUAACACAUGCAAGUCGAACGGCAGCACAGUAAGAGCUUGCUCUUACGGGUGGCGAGUGGCGGACGGGUGAGGAAUACAUCGGCAUCUACUUUUUCGUGGGGGAUAACGUAGGGAAACUUACGCUAAUACCGCAUACGACCUACGGGUGAAAUCAGGGGAUCUUCGGACCUUGCGCGAUUGAAUGAGCCGAUGUCGGAUUAGCUAGUUGGCGGGGUAAAGGCCCACCAAGGCGACGAUCCGUAGCUGGUCUGAGAGGAUGAUCAGCCACACUGGAACUGAGACACGGUCCAGACUCCUACGGGAGGCAGCAGUGGGGAAUAUUGGACAAUGGGCGCAAGCCUGAUCCAGCCAUACCGCGUGGGUGAAGAAGGCCUUCGGGUUGUAAAGCCCUUUUGUUGGGAAAGAAAAGCAGCAGGUUAAUACCCCGCUGUUCUGACGGUACCCAAAGAAUAAGCACCGGCUAACUUCGUG
This 492-nucleotide ribosomal RNA is filed under the name uncultured bacterium. RNAcentral describes it as "partial 16S ribosomal RNA". It matches the Rfam family "Bacterial small subunit ribosomal RNA", at positions 28 to 507 of the family's 1533-position model. The record is from RNAcentral.